RNAcentral lists this ribosomal RNA (460 nucleotides) under uncultured bacterium. RNAcentral's name for it is "partial 16S ribosomal RNA". It matches the Rfam family "Bacterial small subunit ribosomal RNA", at positions 338 to 795 of the family's 1533-position model. The record is from RNAcentral.
CCUACGGGAGGCAGCAGUGAGGAAUAUUGGUCAAUGGACGAGAGUCUGAACCAGCCAAGUAGCGUGAAGGAUGACUGCCCUACGGGUUGUAAACUUCUUUUAUAAAGGAAUAAAACGAGGCACGUGUGCCGUUUUGCAUGUACUGUAUGAAUAAGGAUCGGCUAACUCCGUGCCAGCAGCCGCGGUAAUACGGAGGCUCCGAGCGUUAUACGGAUUUAUUGGGUUUAAAGGGAGCGUAGAUGGGUGGUUAAGUCAGUUGUGAAAGGUUCGGGCUCAACCCUAGCAUUGCAAUGGAUACUGGCGUUCUUGAGUACAGUUGAGGCAGGCGGAAUUCGUGGUGUAGCGGUGAAAUGCUUAGAUAUCACGAAGAACCCCGAUUGCGAAGGCAGCUUACUAAACUGUGACUGACAUUGAUGCUCGAAAGUGUGGGUAUCGAACAGGAUUAGAUACCCCAGUAGUC